Melanotaenia boesemani (Boeseman's rainbowfish) is the source of this 369-nucleotide long non-coding RNA. RefSeq lists it as uncharacterized. Lineage: Eukaryota; Metazoa; Chordata; Actinopteri; Atheriniformes; Melanotaeniidae. The transcript is spliced from 3 exons. The record is from RefSeq and is a predicted model, not a curated record.
AAUGCCUGCAAAGCUGAUCCUCUUCUCCUUGAAAUAACCUAAAAACUUAAAUAAUUUUUAUAUUAGUAAGCAGUGACUACUUCAGCCGCUCACCUUUUGUUCUCACUUUGAUAAACAAAACGAAUAAAUAUUUCUCCCUGACAGGCAUGCUACUUUGUGGCAUGUUUAGUUUUCAGGUGACAAAGUUUAAAAUGAGACCUUUUGCAUCAGCUACUUCUGUGAAAAAAAGAAGAGAUGCUUUGAUUAAAAAAAAAAAAAAAAAAAACACUUCAACAACCAGAAACACUAAUACAACAUACAAGUAAAUGGGAUGGCAUGUUCUCAAAUGGGAUCUCUUGUUUAUAAAUGUAUUGCAAAUGGAAUGUAAUG